UAAACGAUAAGCCACGAAUAUCUUACCUAGUUUAAAAUUUGUAUACCGUCAUUAUCAGAUAACUUUGAUAGAAUGAGUUGUUGAAAAUAAUAAAAAUUAAGAAAAUUAGAUCAAGGUGCAGUUUAUAGUUAGGAGUAAAUGGGUUACAAUAAAAACUGUUUAAACGGAGUUAAUAGUGAAAUUUAAUAAUGAAGGUGGAUUUAAUUGUAAUGAGAUUAAUUUUAAUUACUUGAUAUAGGCUCUAAAAUAUGUACAUAUCGCCCGUCGCUCGCGGGAAA
RNAcentral lists this ribosomal RNA (278 nucleotides) under Hapalogaster mertensii. Its description in RNAcentral is "partial 12S ribosomal RNA". Lineage: Eukaryota; Metazoa; Arthropoda; Malacostraca; Decapoda; Lithodidae. The record is from RNAcentral.